AUGGAGAUGGACGCACCGGGUGGUGAUGGUCGAGACGGUCCCCGGGAACGGCGAGGCCACAGCGAGGCAGGGAGGCAGAACCUCGAUGUGCGGCCUCAGUCCGGGGCAAACGGGCUACCUAAACACUCCUACUGGUUGGACCUCUGGCUCUUCAUCCUUUUCGACGCGGUGGUAUUUCUCCUCGUGUAUUUUUUGCCAUGCCUACUCAACGUGAACACAGCAAGGAUGAGGACCUUUAGGAUGAUCCACUUCCACUUAGUAAGUGCUUUUGUCACCAGAAAGGGACAUAGUAGAGCUGACAGAAAAUAUGGCCAUUACAACCAGAACAUCUCAUAAAUGAAGAAACCAGGAAUGAAAACGACUAUCCUGACUUCUUAAGGAAUAUCAGAAAUACUUACAAAGCAUUCUGCAGCGUCAUCCAUAAGGCCAAGUUGAAAUCGCUGCUCAUCUUUGAAGCUUUCUGCAAGAGCAUGCCUUAUGUUAUCUGAGGGAAGUGCUUUUUCUCGACUGUGUUGGAACUGUGCAAAUAUUGUCUGGGAAUCAACAAGAAAAUCAGUAAGUUUAAUGCCAGCUUUAAAAACAUUUCAGUAAUUUCAUUAUGACACAGGGAAACUCAAAACACUAUAUAUACUUAGAAAAUAAUACAGAAGUCUUUUGCUCUAAAAUUUCAUAAAAAAUUAAUUAUUUGUAUAAUCAAGUGUGGAAAUGUUUACACCAGCCUCUAAAUUAAAUGUUAGGGGACACAAAAAUUCAACAGAUAGGGUUCCCAGGUCCCACUCUCAGAGAUGCUGACUAAGUCUUAGGUGAGGCUCAUUUUUAAAUUAAUCCCCAGAUGAUGCUACUACUGGUUGUUUAAGGAACAGAGUUUUGAGAUUUAAGUUGCUUUAAAUCUAAAAAUAUACAAUAGGAAUUAGAAUUAUGCUGAAAAAAUAAACAUAUAAUCACAAAAAAAAAUUAGGAUGUACUAGUCUUAAAAAAAAAAAGUAACCUAAAGGAACCUAAUAAUUUAUAAAAAAUUUUCUACUAGGGUCUUAAGAAUACCUCAGAAAAUGACAAAUUUUGAUUUAAAAAUUAGACAAUUUAACAGAAUGACAACUUCCCACUAUUAUUUAACUAAACUUACUUUUGAAAAAUGCAAAUGUACAGUUUACAAGGAGAUUCAGAAAAAAAAAUAAUAAUGACUUUUAACUUUUUUUUUUUUUUUUUGAGAUGGAGUUUCGCUCUCCUCACCCAGGCUGGAGUGCAAUGGCGUGAUCUCGGCUCACCGCAACCUCCGCCUCCUGGGUUCAGGCAAUUCUCCUGCCUCAGCCUCCUGAGUAGCUGGGAUUACAGGCACGCGCCACCGUGCCCAGCUAAUUUUUUUGUAUUUUUAGUAGAGACGGGGUUUCACCAUGUUGACCAGGAUGGUCUCAAUCUCUUGACCUCGUGAUCCACCCGCCUUGGCCUCCCAAAGUGCUGGGAUUACAGGUGUGAGCCACCGCACCCGGACAACUUUUAAGAAAAGGUCCUACCACCCCCAAGUUAUCAGUUUUCUUAACUUAGAGAAUUACAGGUUGAAUAUCCCCAAAUCAAAAAUCUGAAAUCCAAAAUGCUUCAAAAUCUGAAACUUUUUUAGCACUGACAUCAUGCUUAAAGAAAAUGCUUUUAAAUUUGGGAUGCUCAAUCAGUAAAUAUAUAAAUGCAAUUAUUCCAAAAUAAAAAAAAAAAAUCUAAAAUCUAGAACACUGCUGGUCCUGAGCAUUUCAGACAAGGAAUACCCAACCUGUACUUCUAAUCUAAUCUGAAGAAACUGGAAACAUCAUUCAGUAUCUAAUCUAAACCUAAGAAACUGGAAACAUGGGAUUAUAGUUGUUAGAUUUUUCAAUUUUCCUUAUUAAGCUUAAGCAAGAAAAAACAUUUUAAUAAAUACCAAUUUUAUGACUAUCAUCUUACAUGGAAGAAAGCAGGGAAAAAAGUAUUCAAUGACACCCCACCAAAGAAGUAUUGGUCACAUUCAGUCCUAUGUUAACUCAAGGGGUCAUGUCAUCUCAAAAAAAAUAUUUUUAAGAUCAACAUACAAGGAAAACAUUUCACGAAUCUGUUUCACUACUGCAGAAAAUACAAUUUAUAAAUAAGAAAUUUUUAAAAAAUACAGAUGUCAAUUGAUAUUAGAUACCCACAACUAUAUUUGAGCUAUUAUAACAGCUAAAAUUAUGAAUAGUAAAAGAUGAAAAACAACUUUCAGAUUUUAUCUCUUAUUUAGACAAUUCACUUCCAGGUAAUGUUGAAGAUUUUUAAUCCUAUGUGAGACUGUCGCUCAUUCAUUCAACAUGUAUUUAUUGCCCCCCCUAGUAUAUGUUAGGCAUUGUUCUACACUAGGAAAUGGAUGACAACCCUGCCCACAUGGAGAUUAUAUUCUAGUUACAGUAAUGAGAAGGCAAAGAAGUAAUUAUAUAAUAUCAGAAUGUGAUAAGUACAGUAGAGAAAAAUAGAGCAGUGUAAUAGGGAUAGAAAUGCCAGGGAUAUUACAGAAGGAGGCAGCUUACCUUUUACCUAGAGUAGUUGGGGAAGGCCUCACUGAUGGAAAAAGGAAUGAGGAGAGGCAUAAAGGAAAUAAGGGUGUUAGCCAUGAGGACAUCUGGAAGAAAAGCAUUCCAGACAAAAGGAGUAACAGUGAGAAGACUUUGAUAUGGAGACCAGCUCUGAGAAAUAGAGCCCAGUUUGGCUAAAAUGCAAUGUAUUUAUAUGUGUUUUUGACAGGGGAAGAGAGUAAGGCAAGCUCAGGGAAGAGUGCAGGGCUAUAAGAGAGUAGGACUAGGAAAUUUAUUAUCAUAAGUUUCACAAUUAAACAAAACUUUCAAAAUUUACUGUGGAAUAAAUAAAAUGUGACACAGUAAUUUAAUCUAGGUUCAUUCUUCAUUUCCUAAAUAUAACCCUAUUUUGCCGUGUUCUUAAAAAAAGAAAAUAUAAAAUUUCCUUCUUUAGUGAUUUACUCAAACAGCCUUUUCAGGAACAUAAUGAAAUUAAGGAACAUACACUUUAAAAAAAAAAAUUUCUGUAUCUAUGUGUGUGUGUUAUGAAUAUUCAAGAAUAUUCAAAAAAUGAAACAUUUAUCUCUAAAAUGUGUAACAAAAUCUUAAAUGAUCUGGUAAAAGUCUUCAGUGACACAAAUGAGUUGCUAAUAUAUACCGGAUGCUCUGUUUCUUUGUCUUCCUUCUAUUUUCCUCAGCAGAGCAGCCACAGGGAUCUAGUUCAAACAUUAUAGCUAGUUAAAAGAGACUGUAUCACUCUUCCACUCAAAACAAUCCCCAAUCUCCCUAAAUCACUCAAAGACAAAGCCACAAUCCUUACAGAGGCCUAUAAGGCCCUACACAAUCUAAACCCCUGAUCUAGUUAUUUACUGUCCUGUAACUAAACCACCCCAAAAUGUAGUUACUAAAAAAAUACUUUUAUUUUGAUCACAAAUCUGCAAUUUGGGUAGGAACAGCACGUCUCUGCUCCACCUGAAAUCAUUUUGGACAGUUUGAAUGCUGGGAUCUGGAAUAUUUGAAGGGCACUCUUUCAUGUCUGGCGAUUGAUGCUGGCUGUGGGCUGGGAACUCAGCUCUAGCUGUGUCCAGAAUGCCUUCAUGGAGUCUUUUUGCAUGGCUACCUGGUUUCCUCUUCAUGGUGGCUCACUUCCAAGAAUGAGCAACUCAAGAGACAGAGCUGGGUGAGAGCUCUAUCGCCUUUUCUAAGCUAACCUAACCUCAGAUAUCUUGCUUGCAGCCUCGUUCUGCCAAAGUCUAAGUUUUUGACAGAAAUCAGUCAUAAGGCUGAUUUUUUGACAGAAAUCAGCCAUUCAAGGAAUUUGAUUUUGGAUAAGGAAGCAUGCAAAAGAAUCUGCAGACAUGUUUUAAAGCCACCUCAGCUACCCUCACCUCAGAGCUCAUCUUCUACCAGUCCCUUCCUUGCUCACAAAGCUCCUACCACCCAGACUUCCUUGGUGUCCUUAAGUAUACUCACACCUCAAGGCCUUUGCAGUCGCUGUUUCUUUGUCUGCCUGGAAGGCUCUUCAAAGUCUCAAUUCAAAUAUCAGUUUCUCAGUGAGGUUUUCCUGACUACACAAUACUCCCUUUUUUGUUUACCUGAUGUAUUUUUCCACUGUUAUAAAUUAUUACCAUCUAACAUACUCUAUAAUAUUUGGCUUUCUUAUUAUUGUCUCCUCCUCUGUAAGAAUACAAGCUCCAUGAAAACAGGAAAUUUUUAGCCGUUUUGUUCACUGCUGUAUCCUCAGUAACUACACUGGUACCCAGAACUCAGUAGUAGCUCAAAAAGCAUUUGUUAAAAUGAUUAAGAAUAAUUUCAAAAUAAUGAAAAAGAUAAUGUUCCUAAUAAUUUGUAAUAUUUAGAAUAUUAAUUUUUAACUGUCCUUAUAUAAAAGAUGAAAAUAAAAACACAAACCUGAAUAAUUUAUUCUUUAAGAAUUCAUCUUCAAAACUGUUAACCACCUGACAGUGAACUUUAGUUACAACAAAUUGACCAAAUACAUCAACUAUCAAACUUAAAUUUACCAAGUAUAUCAACUAUCAAACUUAAAUUUUUGAGGGAACAAUUGAUAGUAAUUUUUCAGAGCUAUUAAAAGGUUACCUUCAAUGCACAAAAUAUACAGGCAUCUCCCUGACAAACAUGUCCAGUCAAAACCCGCAAGCUUCGUCGGAAUAUAUCCAAUUGCCAUAAAACCUAAAAAAGAACAAGAUGUGAAGGAAAAAAACACACUGAGAUUUUUCUUACUGUAACAAAAGACAGAUUUAGAUAUUUUAAAAAUGGCAAAAGGCUAAUAAGUAGCUUCUUUUAAUUUCCUGUACAUGAUCAGACAUACAUAACCACUGGCAAUAACAACAAGUAUAAAAUUGCUACAUGCAUGUUGUAUAUACAUAAAUGUUGGAUUCAGAAGAUAUUCUUACUGGUGCACAUGAAAAACCAUGACAGGCAUGGAGCAGGGAAAAACUAACUCCUCAUUGAGGAUUUGUUCUGAACAGGAAACCUGGAAAACUAAAUGGAGAAGCUGGCAGAGACAUGAAAGAGGAAGUGAUUAUAAUACUUGGAACAAACUGAAAUUUUGAAAGGAAAUAUAAUUAGACUUUAAAGCCAGAGUGUAUUAAAUUAGGGUCUGCACAUUAUGGCAAGAAAAAGGGGUAAGCAGAGGUAUGUGGCGUCACUGUACACUGAACAAGAAAGUGGGUACCUAUAUAGUAAUGAGGUUACAGCAUGGUAAGAAGCAGCCAUUAAUAAAUUACCUAAAUAUGUACUUGCUGCAAUUAUCCACUUAUCUUCUGCUACUAAAAGACAAAGACAAAGCAAACCCAAAAAGACUGCCACUGUAAAAACAAAUCAGUCCCAUGCUUAAAAUCAUUCUGAAAAACCUGAAUUCUACACAAUGAGAAUAAGAAUAGUACUUCUAUCUCACAGAGUUUCUGUCAGGAUUAAAUAAUAUGUAAUAAUAUGUAAUGUUUUUAGAGCACGGUAUGGUACUCAACUGUCAUGCAAUGAGUACCAGCUGCUAUUGUGGCUGUUACUAUUACAACAAACAAAUAAGAUCUUCAGAUUUCCCUAUCUUUUAGUUGUGUCCUCAAACAACGAACUAAGAAAAUCUAUUCAUGAUCUCUCCUUCCUCCCAAAUAACAACAAAAAGCUAAUAAAAACAAACUGGUUUUAAUGUUUCCUAUAUUUUCAACUGCUCCAUAACUAAAGGUCAUUUCAGAAUUUCUCUUUGAAAGUUACCUUUUCUUAAAGCACAAUAGUAUCAAGUUUUCUGUCAACAGAUAACUCAGUUUUUGCAAAGCACUUGAUGAUGUUUAAUAACUUUCUUUAGUAUCAUGUCCUAACAUAUUUUUUAAAAUACACUGAAAUCUGUUUGACCAACAAUGAAGAUGAUUAAUGACAGCACAACUUUAGAAACAGUAUACCACUGAGGUUAAUAAAAUAACCUCUGAAGGCAGGUGUCUGAUUUCUAAAUCUGGGUUUCCCAUGUACCAACUCCUGAACUGACUUCGGCAAAAUAUUUUCUGGGACUCAUUUUUCUCAUCAGCAAAGUAAAGAUAAAUGUAUUACUCACCUCUUGGGGCUGUUGUAAGGAUUAAAUUAGGUAACAUAGGUAAUGUUCCAACAAGCAGUAAGAACACAAUAAAUGUGAACUAUUAAAUAGUAUUACAAUAUUAAAUGUUAUAACUUUGUUCCUCUAACGUUAAAACCACACUAAUAUGUUAUAUUAUACCUAAUUGUACUGCUUUUGCAUUAGAUAAAAGUUUAAAAUAUUCAGCUAAAAUAGAAUACCCUCUAUAAUCUGUUUAUAAAGUUAAUGAAGUCUUACAAAUGUAACCAAAAUAUUUUCUGUGAUUACAAAAAUUCUCAGUUACACUGGCUCAAAUAACAAACAAAAUGUUUUAUAUUAUUUCUUCAAAGUUCCCUGUACAUUACUGUCUUUAACAUAAUAGUAUAGAGGCUACUUUAACAAAUUCCUAUCACUAAAUAAUUAUCCUAAUUAUAGUUAAUCCUCAUCCAUUUUAUUUUAUUUGUUUUUUAGAUGGAGUCUCACUCUGUUGCCCAGGCUGGAGCACAGUGGUGCUAUCUUGGCUCACUGCAACCUCCACCUCCUGGGUUCAAAGCGAUUCUCCUAUCUCAGCCUCCUGUAGCUAGAACUACAGGCACGUGCCACCAUGACCAGCUAACUUUUGUAUUUUUGGUAGAGAUGGGAUUUUACCAUAUUGGCCAGGCUGGUCUGAAACUCCUGACCUCAAGUGAUCCACCUGCCUUGGCCUCCCAAAAUGCUAGGAUUGCAGGUAUAAGCCACCAUUCCCAGUCCCAUUUCAUUUUAAAAUGUUGAUUAUAUUCUAGCACUUAUUUUUUAAAACUUAAGGUUAAAGCUAGUUGCUGAACUAAUUAGUUUUUAGCAAUAUACACUUUUUCAUUAUUUGCAUGUAGCAAUUAAAACAGUGCCUAACAAAAUUGAUGUCGUUAUUUUUGAAUAUUUAUACAUAUUUCUUAUAUGAUUAUUCCUAAAAAAUCAGUACAUAUCUAGACACACAUUAUAUAAAGAAAUACAAACCUUUUAUCAUACAUUCUUUACUUGAAAAUAAUGUAAGAAAUAGCUUAAAUAUUAAUAAGCAAUGGCAUAUAAAUUCAUUUUUCUUAGAUGCAAACACUGCGUUCAAUAACUUCUUACAAGAGAUAUUCUAUAAUUUAUUUCUCAGCAGUUUUAAAAAAGUAUUCAUCAAAUUGCAUAUCAACAUGUGUAUUCUGAAUUUUUAAAAAGAAAGUCAGGUCUUAUCUCAUAGAAAAUCCAUUUGAAUAGUUGUCUUGUCAGGGAGAAAUGGCUUUGUGAAUUAGUUUAUAUGGCAGACAUCAGAGGCCAGCAGAUCCCCCAAAGUUGCUAGAGUUGGCAGGGCAGAGUACUGCAGAGAGAGUUACAUCAGUGGAGAACCCCACUCCAGUAUUUGGAUGUUUACUAUGAGGAAACUGUCUGAGGCAUGGGAAAGAAACGCCCAAAAGGAUUAGAGAGAAUAGUGCACAGAGCUCACACAGGCCCAAGAUAGUGCCUAUUCCUGAACCAAAGUAGAAAACUUCAUAAUUCACAAAACAAUGGUUGAAGAAAGAGAGUCUCAAGAGCAGAAAAAUUAACCCAAGAAUAAACACAGCUCUGUCCCGCCUAACAAAGUUUAAAAGUAAACUGAUCAAAUUGCUAACAAAUAAACUCUGUCCUAGAACAAAGUUCAAGAUUUUUUUUAGGAAUAUAAAAAUAUCCAUAAUCUGACAAGGUAAAACUUGUCUGACAUCCAAAAACAUGAAAGAGAUUGUAAGAAGACCAAAAUCAGACUUCUCAAAGUGAAAACUACAAUGUCUAAGACAAAAAGUACACUGGAUGCGAUUAAUAGCAGAUAGGUAAUGCGAAGGAAAAGAUAAAUGAACUUGAAGGUGUAUUAAUAGAAACCACACAAAAUAAAACACAAAGAGAAAAAAAGACCGAGAAAGAAAAUAAAGAGAGUAUCAGUGAGGUCUGGAACAACUGGACAACUUCAGGCAACCCACUACAUAUGUAACUGGAAAACCCCAAAGGAGGGAAGAGACAGAAAAAUUAUUUGAAGACACAACAAAGUAUUUCUAAAUUUGAUUUAAAUCCAAAACCCACAGAUCUAAGAUGCUCAACAAACCCAAACACAAAGAAACGUGGAGAAACCUAUACCAGGAAACAUCAUUUAAUUGCUUUAAGCCAAUGAUAAGGAGAAAAUCUUAAAAGCAGCCAGAGAAAAAGAACAAAUUACAUACAGAGAAACAAAGAUCAGAAUACUAGGUUUUUCAUUAGAAUAAUGCAAGCUAAAAUGUAGAGAAGCAAAAUCUUUAAAGUACUGAAAAAAAAUGUAAACUUAGACCCCUUUAACAAGAUAAAAAUACCUUUCAAAAACAAAAGUGGAAUGCAGAUCUUUUUCAGGCAUACAAAAGGUGAAAGAAUUCAUCACCAAUAAACGUGUAUUACAAGAAAAAUCCUUCAAGCCAAAGAAAAGAGUAUCAGAUGGAAUGCGAUCUAUGCAAAAAAGUGAUGAGCAUCAGAAAUGGCAACUAGGCAGGUGAAGUUAUGAAAGGUGACUCCAUAUCUCAUAUCAAUGUGACCUGAAGGCAAAUCUACAAAAAAGAAAAAAAAAGUUUAAAUAAAAGCAAAUGCAAAUAAGAAAAUUUUUACUUUACUAUUUGAUCACAAAUAUUGAAUAUAGAUUAAAACUCAUCAUGAAAAGUAUUAGAAUGAUAGCAUUUUAAUAUAUAUUUUAAAAUAUUUAAUCAUUUACCUUUUUAAAAUAUGUAUGUGACAUUAAUCCCUACCUACUUGAAGCUCAAUGUUCAAAACAUGGUUUCAUAAGGAAAAUAUUCUUCAAAAAUCUAGAAUUAUAUUUCAGCUAGUAUCCUAUAUUUGUCAACACUAAAUUGCUCUAUUUAUUAAUAUAUUGUUAUCCUUCUUACACAGAAUCACAUUUUUCCAAAAAAGACAGAUUUUAUGCAAACAGAUGUAAAAUUACUCAAAAUAAACCGUUAAUUCAUAAAUAAAUCUUGGUAAAUUAAAUUUCCAUGGUAUCAACAAAUGCAUACACCUGAUUAAAAGGACUUAUACAUUAAAAACAAAUACAAGAAUACCUUGUUUUGUAGUAUUUUACUUUAUACUGCCUUUUUAACAAAUUGAAGGUUUAUUCCAACCCCAUAUCAAGCCAAUCUACCAGCACCAUUUUUCCAACAGCAUGUGCUCACUUGGUGUCUAUGUCACACUUCAGUAAUUCUUUUUCAAUAUUACUAUAUCUGUUAUGCUGAUCUGUGAUAAGUUAUCUCUGAUGUUACUAUUGCAAUUGUUUUCAGGUACUAUGAACCACUCAAAAAAAAAGGAUGGCAAGCAUAAUCCAUGAAUGUGUCUGACUACUCCACUAACCAUCUGUUUCCACUAUCCUCUUCUCAGGCCCUCCUAUUCCCUGAGAUGUAGCAGUACUGAAAUGAGGUCAAUUCAUAACCCUACAAUGGCCCCUAGGUGUUCAAGUGAAAGAAGUUGCAUGUCUCUCAUUUUCAGUCAAAAGCUGGAAAUGUCUAGUCUUGGUGGGGAAGGCAUGUUGAAAGCUGAGACAGGUGGAAAGGUAGGCUUCCUACACCAAACAGUAAGCAACCCAAGUUGUGAAUGCAAGGGAAAAGCUUGAAGGAAAUUAAAAGCUCUACUCAAGUGAACACCUGAAUGAUAAGAAAGUGAAACAGCUGAUAAUUUGAGUGGUCUGGUUAGAAGAUCCAGCCAAUCACAACAUUGCUUUAAGCUAAAGCCCAAUCCAGAGCAAGGCCCUAACUCUCUUUAAUUCUAUGAAAGCUGAGAAAAAGAGGGUGAGGAAGCUAAAGAAGAAAAGUAGGAAGCUAGUAGUUGGUUCAGUAGGUUUAAGGAAAGAUGCCAUCUCCAUCUUAAUAGUGCUGUAUAGGUGAGACCAUAAUUACUUACUACAAAAAUGCAAGGUGAGUCAGCAAAUACUGAUGUUGAGAAGGUACAGCAAAUUAUCCAGAGAUCUAGCUAAGAUAACUAUGAAAGUGGCUACACUAAUUAACACAUUUUCAGUGUUGAAGAAACAGUCAUCAACUGUCAAACAGUUGAUGAAGAAACAGUUGAAGACUGACAGUGAUAUUGACAGAUGGAAGAAGAUGCCAUCUAGGACAUGCACAGUCAGAAAGAAGUCAAUGCCUGGCUUCAAAGCUUCAAAGGACAGGCUGAUUCUCUUAUUAGGAUCUAAUGCAGUUGGUGAUUUCGAGUGGAAGCCAAUGCUCAUUUACCAUUCUGAAAAUUCUAGGGCCUUAAAAAUCAUCAUAAGUCUCGACUGACUGUACUCUACAAAUGGAAUAACAAAGCCUGGAUGACAGCACAUCUGUUUACAACACGGUUUACUGAAUAUUUUAAGCCCACAGUUGAAGACCUAGUGCUCAGAAAAAUAUUCCUUUCAAAAUAUUGCUGCUUAUUGACAAUGUGCCUGGUUAGCCAAGAACUCCAAUGAUGAUGUACAGAGAUUAAUGUUGCUUUCAUGCCUGCAAUAACCAUUCUGCAGCUCAUUGAUCAAUGAGUAAUUUUGACUGUUAAGUCCCACUAUUUAAGAAAGACAUUUCAUAAGGCCAUAGCUGCCACAGAAAGAGAUUCCUCUGAUGGAUCUGGGCAAAGUAACCUGAAAACCUUCUGAAAAGGAUUCACCAUACUAGAUGCCAUAAAUAACAAUCAUGAUUCACAAGAGAAGGGCAAAAUACCAACAUUAAUAGGAUAUUUGGUUAACGAUACCAACGCUUAUGGAUAACUCUGAGGGGUUCAAGACUUCAUUGGAGAAAGUAACUGGCUGUAAAUAGCAAGAGAGAUAGAAUUAUAAGUGGAUUGUAAAGAUGUGACUGAAUUGCUGUGCACAUUGUUGAAAUGACAAAAAAAAAUUUAGAACAGUACUGUAGUGGCAUGGGUUUGACCCCAAUUUUGAAAGAAGAUCUACUAUGGGGAAAAUACUAUCAAACAGCAUCAUAUGCUACAGAGGAAUCUUUGGUGAAAGGAAGAGUCAAUGUGGCAAACUUCAUUGUUGCCUUAUUUUAAGAAAUACCCACAUCCACCUCAGUCUUCAGUAACCAUCACGCUGAUUCAGUCAGCAGCCAUCAACAUCAAGGCGAGAUCCUCUACCAGCAAAUAGGUUACAACUCACUCAAGGCUCAAAUGUUUAUUAGCAUUUUCUAACAAUAAAGCAGUUUUAAAAUAAGAUAUACACAUUGUCUUUUUAGACAUGAUGCUAUUUUGCACACUUAAUAGACUGUAGUACAAUGUAAACAAAACUUUUAUACGCACCAGGAAACAAAAAAAAUCCCUGCAACUUGCUUUAUUGCAUUGGUAUGGAAUCUAACCAGUAAUACCUCAGCAGUAUACAUGUUUUACUAACAGUUUUGUUUAAUCAACUGAAUUUUGUUGAUGAAUUAUUUCACUCAACAUUUUUUUAGCCAUGUAUUGAACCAGUCACUGGAACUAACAUUAUAAUGACGAAAGGCAGACAAUACCUUAGUUAAUAAUAAAUUGUAGAGUAUACUAGAGGGUUAUGUGCUAAGUAGUAACAAAAGCAGUCUAAGAAAAGAGGAUAGGAAGUAUAUAUGAUGUAGGAUGGUUUGUGCUUUUUAGAUAGGGUCUCACUGAGGUUACAUUUGCACAAAGAUUAGAAGGAGAUGAAGAAGCCACCUGAGAGAAAGAAUUCCAAGCACAGUGAACAGAAGCCUCAAAGAUACUGAGGGUUGCAGCAUAUCUGGUAUAAUGGAGGAAUAGUAAUAUAAAGCCUCGUGUGUGGCAGGAGAAACAUGAACAAAGAGAAAAGUAAAUGGGGAAAAGAUCGUGUGGGAUCUCACAAGCCCUUUUGAAGUACUCUGGCUUUAAACUCUGGGUGAUGGCCGGGCAGGGUGCCCUACGUGUGUAAUCCAGCACUUUUGGAGGUCAAGUGGGGAGGAUCACUUAAAACCAGGAGCUCAAGACUAGCCUGGGCAACAUAGUGAGACCUUGUCUCUACAAUAAAUUUUUUUUAAAAAUGAGCCAGGCACAGUGGUACGCACCUGUAGUCUCAGUUACUCAGGAAGCUGAGGUGGGUAGAUUACUUGAGCCCAGAAAUUUGAGGCUGCAGUGAGCUAAGAUUGUCCCACUGCACUCCAGCCUGCAUGGCACCAAGACCCUGUCUCUAAAAGCAAACACCACCACCACCAAAAACUCUGGAUAACAGUGAUUGAGUUCCAUAGUACAAAAAGAUGACAGACAGAAUGACUCCGGUCAGUUCAGUAUCAUUAAUCAAAUGCCCAUUAAAAUAGAGAAGCGCUGAAAAAUAAAGAAGCAUCAGUCUUUAAAAGAAUCAGUCAGGAGAACUUUGUUUCCAGGCCUGUUUAUUGGCUGCUUAGUCUUACAUACAUUCUUGUCAUCUCUGAUUCAUGGUUUCUUCACUUUUAAGAUGGGGAUAACAAGAACAGCCCUGCUUUAACAUAGGUUAAAUGUUUUGAAAAUUUAAAACACUAUACAAUUAGCCCUGUAUGUCCAUGAGUUCUGCAUCUAUGGAUUCAAGAACCAUGGAUCGAAAAUUCAGUGUUUGCAGGAUGCAGAACCUCAGCUGUGGAGGACCAACUUUUAGUAUCUAUGUGUUCCCCAGGACCCACUGAAGGACCUAAGCAUCCAUGGAUUGUGGUAUCUGCAGUAGGUCCUGGAACCAACCCACUGAGGGACGAAUGCAUUAUGUUAGUUGUUUUCUUCUUUUUAUUUUACUCUCCAGUUUAUAACCACUUCUAAAGUAAUCUAAAUGAUCCUGAAACCUUGCACAUAAAUUAAGUUUUUAAUAAAUUUAGUCAUGCCUUUACAACAUUAAGGAAGUUCUGUAUUGGUAGUACAUUUAUAUUCUCAAAGAAAGAAUUUUUUUGAAACAAUAUUCUUUCAAUAAACUUUAUUAGACACCAAGUCUACCCCAUGAACUAUGCUAAAGUAUAUAUAAAAAUCACUACCUUUAAGGGGCUUACUUUGGUGAGGGGCACAGACACAAACAGAUAAUUUAAAAAUAUUAUGGCUUCCACUCCAGCACAAGAUUUCAAACACCUCGUUCCCUCCAUCUAUCUCAACCCUACAGAUUACGCAAAAGCAAAAAUAAGUCUAUUGAAUAAAAAACCUUGGGGCACUAAAAGCAAUUGGCAUCUAGAGUGUCAAGGAAAUGGCAACCAGGAGAUGGAGCAGGCCAAAUGCUACCAACUGGGAAAGACCUAGUAGUGACCUUUUCCAGUCUUUACACCGCUCUGGCAGAGAAUUCCUACCCUGUGGGAUACAAUGAAACAGAACGGCUCUGCUACCACCCCAGUGCCAUCUGGAUGAUACAGGAGAUUACUAUAUCAGGAAAGCACCAGAAGACAAGCAGUUUGGGAAACGGUAACAAGUUCAGGUGAUUGGCAAGGACUCUGUGUGUUCUGUCCUCACCGCACUGCAUACAUAGAAUAAGGAAAGCAGGUUCUAGAGAAGAUCAUGCCUCGUUGGCAAGUCAACAGGAAGUUCCUUUUUGGCACCAAUUCUCAAACUGUAUCACCCCGAAUCAAGCCCAUACACCCCCACCUUUGCUCCAUGAAAUCACGCAAAGACACAAGUUAGAGCCUAGUCUUUCACCCUCCUCCCAGGCAAAUACUACUAGCUCAUAACUUGGUACUUCCAUGAAAAAUACAACUAGACACUUGGAGAGUAUGAGCACAACAAAAGAAAGACAAUAAACUGAACUUUAUACCAUGAGAAAAAAGACUAAAGAGAACGUAAAUUUAAAACAAGCAUAAAUAUUCACCAAUUGAAGAUAUGUAUAGAUUUUUUAAACUGCUGAAAUAAAAAACUCGACAGGUUAACUAGAAAACUGAAUACAGGACAAGAACAUACUAGUGAGCAACAAGUUCAGAUCAAGCAAUUCUCCUACAAAGCAUUAAAAAAGGAAUAAGGAAGUAGAAAACAUAAACACUUCUCAAAAGCUAUGAGACAUGAUUAAAAUAAUUAAAUGUCAAUAUCUAUCCAAUAAGAUUCCUAGAGAGGGAUAUAAGUAGAUAUGUCUAGAAAUGAUUAAGAAUUUCCCAGAAUUAAAGACUGAAAAACUCAGAUACAAACAGGAUGUGUAACUCAAAGAAUCCAAACAUGAUGUAGUAAAAAAGAGAAGUAGGACAAAAAUUGUGAAACCUUAUACUAACUUGAAAAAAGGAGAUUUCCAAGUCAACUGAUAAACAAUAAAAAAAAUAAAUCCCAAACUAAAAUUUUACAAAAACUAACAGAUAUCUUUACAAAAGGCCUGAUUAAGGUUAAAAAAAAAAAAAAAAAAGAGAGAGAGAGAGAGAAACAUGAACACUAAUAAAAUUGACAAAGGAGAAAUGACUAGACACAUAAGCAAUGGAAAGAAUACAAGAAAAAAUGAAAAGCUUAAAAAGACUAGUUUAGAAGAAAAUGGAAAAGAGAUAAAAGUUAUUUCAUUUUAAAUGGCAUCUGGAUAGACAAAUUCUAAACUUCAAAUAACUGUUGAUUCUAGUGUUAAAUCACUGCAGGCCACAGGGUAAAUAAAACAGUAAGAAUCCCCAAAUCAUUUCAUAAAGCUAACAUAUCCUUAUUAUCAAAACAUGAUAAACCUCAUACCAAUUUGACAUGAUUAUAGGUACAAAAAUUAUAAAUAAAAUGCUAGCAAACAUAAUCUACCGAUACGUCAAAGGAAUAACAUACAAUUGAAAAGAAUAAUGACAAGCGUGGUUUCUUAUGAGAAUGCAAAUGUGAGUCUGUAUUUAUUCUCUCAAUAAACAUUUGGGAGGCUGUGAAGAAAAUAGCUAACACAGCAUUAUUCAUAAUAUUCAAAAAGGGGAAACAAUCCAAAUGUCCAUCAACCAGUCAAUGGAUGAACAAAAUGUGUUAUGUAUAUUCAUACAAUGAAAUAUUAUUCAGCCAUUAAAAAAUGAAGAAGCAACAUAUAUUACAACAUGAACGAACAUUAAAAACACUAAGCAAAGUAUAAGCAGUCAGUCACAAAAGACCAUAUAUUAUAUGAUUCCAUUCAUAUGAAAUGUUUUUUAAAAAGAGCAAAAGAAAAGACUUUACAUAGCACCCCUUAGACUGCCAUCCUUACAAUGGUCUGCUUGCAAGGCUGACCUUUGGGAACUCAAGAUUUGGGGAGGCUUUCCAACACACUGAUAAGAGUGGGUCACUAUAGCUAAACUGCACAAACAAAAUUUUUAUCCUGAAUACCUGUUUUCCUUCUGGAACACUGCAAUUGUGGUACAUUCCAGGCAGAGGAUGCUUAUGUGACCAUCCCACAAUAAAAUGUUAAGUACUGAAUCUCUAAUGAGCUUCCUGGUACACAACAUUUUACAUGUGUCAUCACAAUCUGUUGCUGGAGAAAUCAGUGUGCCCUGUGUGACUCCACUUGUAGAAGACAAUUGGAAGUUUGUGCCUGGUUUCAGGCUGACUUCACCUCCUGCUCCUUCUCUGUCUGCUGAUUUUGCUUUAUAUCCUUUCACUGUAAUAAAUCACAGCAAUGCAUAUAACUAUAUGCUGAGCUCUGUGAGUCCUGCUAGAGAAUCAACAAAACUGGCAGGUGGGAGGGAUCUAGUACAGUAGUUGAAAGGUACUUCAUUUUUAUCACACUGACAAAAAUACUAAAACACUGUUGGUGAGAAUAAAAGGGAAAAGGUACUUUCUUUCACGGCUAACAAGAAAUGUAAUCAUACUAUUAUACCCUCUGGCAAUAUUAUAUCAACAUGGCCACAACUAUUAAAGUUAAAAACUUAACACACUUCAACCCCUAAAACUCAAUACUGAGAAUCUAUACCCCAGAAAUAAAAGUACUAUUUUUAUUGAGAUAUAUUAGGUUAUAGCAGUAAAUAAUGAAAGAAAUAAAGUAAAUAUCUAUCAUUAGGAACAUAAUUGCUAACAGGGUGUUUGCAGUGAAUUCCUAUAAUUUUGUGUUACCUCUGCAUCCACUUUGAACAUAAGCUGGAUUUUCUCAUACCAGAAGCAGUGCUCUGUUAAGCCUGACAGUUUCCAGUUUUCUACCUCCUCCUAGUUCCUCAGUGUGGUUAAUACAGACAUCUACUUCAUACAACUGCUUCCUACUCACCACCUCUUUAUAGGUGGUCAGUGAAAUUCAAACCACAUAACUUGACCUGCUGACUCACACAGCAUGCACAGGCUGUGCAGAUAUGCCACAGUGACCACCUUUCAGUCACAGUGACUCCAUGGAACAUGUACCCACAUACUCUAAACCCACCAAUUAGAACUCCCUACAGGAAACCCACCUAGGCAAUACCCUGGGCCCCGGUAAAGGUUUUGGCCCACAAGUUCCCCUCUCUCUGUCUUUUGUUCCCCACCCAGUGGUUGAAUGUGCAUGUAUCAGUGGCUCCCCACUUCCAGUUGGCCAUAGGAGACGUGCUGCCCUCUUGUCUCUGGAUUUGUAAGUAAUAAACUGCUUCUGUUAUUUCAUGUUUUGGUGAGUCGUAUCCUGUGUAUCUCACCCAAUUACACCUGAAUUCAGCUUCUUUUCUGGUCAGGACUCUCCUAGAGAAUGGCUAUCUUGAUAGAAAUAAACUCAACACAGGUAAGACAAGAGUCACAAGGGCAUCUGCCAGUAUAAACAAGUUUCCUGUGAGAGGGACACCUGUCGAGGGUCAGGGACACUAAGGCAUUAGGUCAUAUGCCAGGAAAAAGAAGUAUCCUGUGAAAAGCACAUUGUAAACACCCAUGACCACAUCUCCUGAAGUCCUAUCAGGGUAAGAGUAGUGUUUAUAGCCAUUCUCCAGAGACAGACCACAAGAUCAAAUUCCAGGAAAAUACAACAGUGUUUUUGAAUGACUAAGGCAAAAUGCAGAAACUUAAUAUUACCUCAUUUUGGUAAAACAAUAUAUGUGUGAAAACAUAUACACUAUACAUGAUCACCUGAGUAAGGAGUAUAUAUAUGUAUAAUUGAAACAGGGCUAGACAGCCAACUUAGAUAAUAAAAAAGAUUAAACUCAGUGAUGUGCAGUUGAAGCCCAAAGAAAAAAAGAACAAAACAUAUAAAUAUGCAAAGCCAGACAUAUGCAUAUUAUAACAUAAGAUCUGUGUGGAAGCAAAAUAGGCUUCCUGGAGAGGUUACAUCUUACUAUAUAUUGAAAAAUGAGCACAAGUUUUGUGUGUAUGUUGGGAAGAUGAGAUGUAUUUCAAAGAAAUGCUAUGAACCAAGUAAUGAAGUAAUAUACAUAAUAAAGUAUGAGGUAGACAGAACCAGGGGUCAGAUCAUGGCUGCUCUUGAAGGUCACAUAAGAAAUUUAGCCUUUACCUAAUAGGUGGUGAAAAGCUUUUGUUGGUUUUAAGCAGGGAAAUUACAAUCAGACUUGUGGUAUAAACAGACAUGGCAAUGAAUAAGAUGAAUUUGAGGUAAAUUAAACUGCAAGUAAAACAGGUAAAUCAGGAGGCUGGUGAAGGAUUGCAGAGGAGAGAUGGCAUGAGCCUACACAAGGGCAGUGAUAGCAGGAAAAGGGGAUGAAUAUAACACAUCUUUCAGAAGUAGUCAGCAAAACCUAUGAAGCAGAGAGGAAAGUAAAGAAAGUUCCCAGAUUUCUACAAUGAAUGGUAGUAGGAUUGUUAUACCAACUCAAAUAGCAUUUAUAGGAAAGUAAGCUUGAGAGAAAAUACUGAGUUCCAUUUAGGAUAAAAUGAAUGAGUUUCUAUAGAACAUUCAAAGGGAGAGAUCCAGUAAACAUUUAGAUUCAAAAGGUAAUCUUGGGGAAGAGUUCAGGGUUGGACAUAAUGGAUUUUCAAGUCAUGAACAUAUAAACAUAAGAAUAGAUGAAAUGCUAAAGAAAGGGCAUGUAAGUGAGAAGAGUGGCAGCUUGAAAGAAUAUCAGAAACACCAGGUUUAUGGUAGUUAUUAUACUGGAACCAAAAGGACAACAUUAUUUUAGUCUUUAUUUCACAUAAUAGCACCAUAUAUAGAUGGCUGGAUGGAUUAUAGCAGAUGGCCACUAUGGUCUAUGUUGUAUGCAAUUGUUACUGUAUCUGACAGAGGUCUAGGACUAUGUUGCUCAGACCAUUCAGCUUUAUAAUACCCAGGAAGAAUACCUGGUAUAAGGAAGGCAGGGUAGAGGGAAUCUAACUCUAACAAAAGAUCUAGAGGAACAGCUAGUAAUUAACUCCUUCCUCCCUUUUAUUCAUCUAAGUCUACUUAUACUACACAACUGUAGUUUUCCUUACUUUUUCUUCUAUUUUAUUUGUUUCUAUUCUACUUAUAUUUUAGUCUAUUUGCUAUUUUAUAAGUUACAAAUUAAACAAUUCAGAGGUCACUAGUAUCUCAGUGAGAGCUAAUUAAUUUUCAUAUGUACAAUAUUUUUGUACAUAGGAUGUUUAAGUUAACCAGCUUUUGAGGUAUAAGUUGCAAUCAAUAAAAUUAAUCGUGUUAGUGUACAGUUCAGUAAGUUUUGACAAACAUACAGUCAUGUAACCAUUACCACAAUCACCCUGAGAAGCUCUCCUGUGCCCCUUCACAGGCAAUAACCUUCCUUAAGUGUGGUAGGCAGAAUUCUGAAAGUGUACCCACUCCCCACAUCCCCAGAUUUCGUACCCUACAGGAACCUGUAAAUAUGAUACCUAUUCCAUUAUCACACUAUGUUAUAUGGCACAAGUGACCUAAAAAUAUGGUGAUUAUCUGGUUGGGCCUAAUGUAAUCACAUGAAUCCUUAAAAGCAGAGUGCUUUCUCUGGCUGGUGAUAGAAAAAGAGAUUUGAAGCAUGAGAAAGACUUGAUGUGUAAUUGCUGCUUUAAAGGUGAAGGGGGUCUUUAACAUAAGAGAACAGAUCCUGGUUGACAGCUAACAAAGAAACGGGCCUUACUCCUACAAGGAAACACCUCUGCCAACAACCUGAAUGAACCCAGAAGCAGAUUCUUCUUCCUUAAGACCUCCAGAUAAAAGGCCAGUCCAUUUGACACCUUGACCCCUCUUGUGAGACCCAGAGCAGAGAACUCAGUUAAAAAACGACCUAGACUUCUGACCCACUAACACUGUGAAAUAAUAAAUGUGCAUUGUUUUAAGCUGUCAAAAUUGUGGUAAUUUGUUAGAUAGUAAUAGAAAAUUAAUACAUUCAACCCGCAAGAAAACACAGAUCCACUGUCCUAGUUUCAACUUUUCUAGAAUUUCUCAUGAAUGGUCUCAUACUUUUGAGUUUCAUCUGUACUGUUGCACAAAUCGGUAGUUAUACAUUCCUUUUUAUUACUGAGUAAUAUUCUUUCUUAUCUCUUUACCAGUAGAUAGAUUAACUAGAGUUGUUUCCAUUUUGGAGUUAUAAUGAAUAAAGUAACUACAUACACUCAAGUAUAAUUCUUUCUGUGGACACAUUUCUCUUGUAUAUACCGUAUGGUAAGGUAAAUGUAUGUUUAACCUUAUAGAAAAUUGCCAAAGUGCUUUCCCAAGUUUUUGAAUAUUAUACAAUUUUUAAUUCUCUCCUUAUGUAGGAGAGCUGUAACUACUCCACAUCUUCAACAAUUGUUACUGUCUUUUUAAUUUAAGCUAUUCUAGUGGGGGUGUUUAUCAGUAUCACAUUAUGGUUAUAAUGCGCAUUUCUAUAAUGACUAAUGAUGCAGAGUAGCUGUUCAUGUGCUUAUGCCAUUCGUAUAUCUUUAGAGAAACAUACAUUCAAAUCUUCUACUCAUUAUUUCAUUAGGUUGUAUGUGUUAUUGAUACGGGAGUGCUGGGAGCAUGGUCCCUUUAAAUGAUACAGAAGCAGGGAAGGGAAGUGUUGGGUAGAAGAGGAUGUGGUCCCUGGUUAGGGAUCCACCCCAUGGACCUAGGUGAAAACAGGCACUCCUGCCUUCAUGCCCGAAUGUUGCAUUUCCCAAGACCACCCUGGCCCACCAUGCCCCCAUCCCAGGCCUACAAAAACCCAAAACACUAGUGAGCAGACACAUAGGCAACCAGGCGUCAAGAUGGGCACAUCAGCGGAAGAAGAUGCAAGGAGCUGGUCCUCAAAAGGGGCACCUAGAAGAAAAGCACACCAACAGACACCGGCACACCACCAGGCCAUUGACUAGUGGGAUGAGGCAGAGUUUGGCAGUCAGAGGAGAGCCAGGGCCAAUGAGUGGCCCAACUCCACAGGAAAACCAUCUCCCUUCUGGCUUCCCCAUGGUCUGAAAACUACUUCCACUCAAUAAAACUUUGUACUCAUUCUCCAAGCCCACCUGUGAUCCAAUUCUUCUGGUACCCCAAGGCAAGAACUCUGAGAUACAGAAAGCCCUCUGUUUUGUGACAAGGCAGAGGGUCUAAUUGAGCUGGUUAACACAAGCCGCCUAUAGGCAAACUAAAAGAGCACCCUGUAACACACGCCCACUGGGGCAUCAGGAGCUGUAAACAUUCACCCCUAGACCCUGCGUGGGAUCGGAGGCCCACAGCCUGCCCAUCUGCAUGCUCCCUUAGAGGUUUAAGCAGUGGGGCACUGAAGAAGCCAGUCACACCCCCAUCACAUGCCCUGCAAGGGGAACAAGGGAACCUUUCCUGUUUAAUUAUUAUUGACUUUUAAGUGUUCUUUAAUUAUGAUAAAGUUUUUCAUUUUGAUGAAGUCCAAUUUACCCAUUCUUUAAUUUUAUGAUUGUUGCGUUUUUGUGUCCUGAUAUUUGUCACAAAAAAAUGUUUUCCUGUGUUCCUUUAGAAGUUUUAAAGUUUUGGCUCUUAUGGUUAGCUCUAUGAUUCAUUUCAAGUGUGCGUGCGUGUGUGCAUGCGUGCAUGCGUGCGUGCGUGCUUGUGUGUAUGUGUGUGGCAUUAGAUAAGGCUUUGGGUUAAUUCUGUUCAAACAAAAUCCAAUUUUCCAGCACCAUUUUUAAAAAUGAGUAUGCUUUUAAUCCCUAAAUUGCUUUGGAAUACUUUUGUCAAAAAUUAAUUGAUUACAGCCAGGGCCAGUGGCUCAUGCCUGCAAUCCUAGCACUUUGAGAGGGUGAGGUGAGAGAAUCACUUGAGUCCAGGAGUUCGAGAGUAUCUUGGGCAACAUAGUGAGACCCAUCUCUACAAAAGAUAGAAAAAUCAGCCAGGCAUGGUAGCACAUGCCUAUAGUCCCAGCCACUCAGGGGGCCGAGCUGGGAGGGUUGUGUGAGCCUGGGAGGUAGAGGCUACAGUGACCUGUGAUUGUGCCACUACACUUCAGCCUGGGUGACAGUGUGAGACCUUGUUUCAAAAAAAAGAAAAAAAAUUAAUUGAUUACUGAUGUAGUAGAUAUAUUUCUGGUCUCUC
Non-coding RNA from Callithrix jacchus (white-tufted-ear marmoset), 21250 nucleotides. NCBI's taxonomy places the organism in Eukaryota, Metazoa, Chordata, Mammalia, Primates, Cebidae. The record is from RefSeq and is a predicted model, not a curated record.